GACAGAGGGUGCAAACGUUGUUCGGAAUUACUGGGCGUAAAGCGAGUGUAGGCGGUUUGGAAAGUCGGAUGUGAAAGCCCCGGGCUCAACCCGGGAAGUGCACUCGAUACUACCAAGCUAGAGUAUCGGAGAGGUUGGCGGAAUUCUCGGUGUAGAGGUGAAAUUCGUAGAUAUCGAGAGGAACACCGGCGGCGAAGGCGGCCAACUGGACGAAUACUGACGCUGAGACUCGAAAGCGUGGGGAGCAAACAGG
RNAcentral lists this ribosomal RNA (253 nucleotides) under uncultured bacterium. RNAcentral describes it as "partial 16S ribosomal RNA". It matches the Rfam family "Bacterial small subunit ribosomal RNA", at positions 524 to 776 of the family's 1533-position model. The record is from RNAcentral.